Molecule: small RNA, 50 nt
Filed under: Arabidopsis thaliana (thale cress)
Lineage: Eukaryota; Viridiplantae; Streptophyta; Magnoliopsida; Brassicales; Brassicaceae
Description: ATSL117630
Source: RNAcentral
UACCUUCAAGAAGCGUCCUCUUCUGUUCUCACCGAUAUCGAAGUAAAACA